GAUGAACGCUGGCGGCGUGCCUAAUACAUGCAAGUCGAGCGAACAGAUAAGGAGCUUGCUCCUUUGACGUUAGCGGCGGACGGGUGAGUAACACGUGGGUAACCUACCUAUAAGACUGGAAUAACUCCGGGAAACAGGGGCUAAUGCCGGAUAACAUUUAGAACCGCAUGGUUCUAAAGUGAAAGAUGGUUUUGCUAUCACUUAUAGAUGGACCCGCGCCGUAUUAGCUAGUUGGUAAGGUAACGGCUUACCAAGGCAACGAUACGUAGCCGACCUGAGAGGUUGAUCGGCCACACUGGAACUGAGACACGGUCCAGACUCCUACGGGAGGCAGCAGUAGGGAAUCUUCCGCAAUGGGCGAAAGCCUGACGGAGCAACGCCGCGUGAGUGAUGAAGGUCUUCGGAUCGUAAAACUCUGUUAUUAGGGAAGAACAAAUGUGUAAGUAACUGUGCACGUCUUGACGGUACCUAAUCAGAAAGCCACGGCUAACUACGUG
This 497-nucleotide ribosomal RNA is filed under the name uncultured bacterium. Its description in RNAcentral is "partial 16S ribosomal RNA". It matches the Rfam family "Bacterial small subunit ribosomal RNA", at positions 28 to 507 of the family's 1533-position model. The record is from RNAcentral.